Molecule: RNA transcript, 2136 nt
Organism: Pocillopora verrucosa
Lineage: Eukaryota; Metazoa; Cnidaria; Anthozoa; Scleractinia; Pocilloporidae
Gene name: G protein-activated inward rectifier potassium channel 4
Source: RefSeq, a predicted model, not a curated record
UCCAGUCGUACGCAACAUUUUACUUCCUAGUGUACACAAGGUUUUUAUGUGAAGGGUCACCUCCAAACAAGACAUGGAUCCUGGCAUAUCAAAAGAAUAUCUUGUGAAUGACAGCUUCCAAAGUGAUCGAGACGAGGAAACAGAGCCCACAACUACAGUUAACGUCGGAACUCGAGCUGUGAUCGAAGAACACAUUGGCGUUCCUACAUCUGCCUCGUCGAUCAACUCCGCUUCGCUUCGCGGUGAAACUGAAGGCAAAAUUUUGCUGGAUACCGACAAACGCCGUUUAGUCAACAAGUCUGGUGAGCUGAAAGUUCUUGCAAAGAAUGUUCCUCGUAAAACAAGACUUUAUCUUGCAGACAUAUUUACGACUAUGAUAGAUUUGCGCUGGAAAUGGGUCAUAUUUAUAUUUAUAUCCAGCUACAUCAUCUCAUGGGUUGUUUUUGGUUUCAUUUGGUGGCUGAUAGCGUAUGUGAGGGGCUCAACAAUCUGCAUUGAGAAGGUUAGAAGCUUUACAGCUGCUUAUCUUUUCUCUGUUGAAACUCAAGAAACAAUUGGUUAUGGGCAGAAAGCAAUCACAACAAAAUGCCCUGAGGCAGUCAUAGUCCUGCAACUUCAGACCCUUGUGGGAUUACUUAUAGACGCGUUCAUGCUAGGACUGACAUUUGCCAAGCUCUCGAGACCACGAGAGCGGGGGAAGACUGUUAUGUUCUCGGAGUAUGCUGUUAUAGCCCCGAGAGAUGGAAAAAUGUGUCUGAUGCUUCGAAUUGGAGACGUGAGAAAGAGUCAAAUUGUUGACGCAUCUGUCCGAAUGCAGCUAUUCAGAACUCACACUACUAAAGAAGGAAAAGAAAUCCCGUUUCACCAAGAGGAUCUUAAAGUGUGCUACGAUUGGCGUGACCCUGACAACGACUUCAGGAAUAAACUGUUUUUACUCUUGCCUCUAGUAGUCAUCCACAUAAUUGACGAGAACAGUCCCUUUUAUGACGUCACACCUCAAAUGCUCCAGCGCUCAGAUUUCGAAGUUGUGGUAGUACUGGAUGGAGUGGUUGAAGCGACCGGGCUGAACACACAGCCUAAGUCUUCUUACCUCAGCAGUGAAAUCUUGUGGGGCUAUGACUUCUGUAACACUCUGGAGAAGUCUCAAUUCAGUGAGAAAGGCUUCUACCAUGCCGAUUUUUCUAGAUUGAAUGACAUACAUGUGGUUGAAACGCGAAGGUGUUCGCCAAGAGAGUAUUACAGGCAGAAACAACAGGAAGAGGCCUAGAAACGUGUGUUUUGUCAGUCCAUGAAGUGCUUUCUCUCCUUCAUAUUGGGAAGAAUCAGUGCUCAGAAAAAGUGACCGCAGUGGUCAAAGUCGGUCAUGUGUAAUUGGAUUAUUUUCUGUCAGUCUUUACACCAAUUUCCCGCGUAUGAUUUAAGAGGAAAACAUUAGGCACAGAAGAUUGCUGUUAUGCAAAAUAUGCGGAAAAAUUGAAUCGUUCUUAGAAAAAUACCAAAGGAAACAAAAGAAAGGAGUAGGACAACUGAGGACUUUUCGACUGCAAAGUUUAUUUGAUUAAGGUUUUCUGUUUACAUACCAUUUUGUGAAAGAUUUCUGCGUCACCCUGUACAAUUUAAAGGCAAAGCAUUUGUCACAAAGUAAAUUAGCUUGUGGAAAACGUGGUAAAUUCCAGCAUUGCAGGUUCGUGCGUAUGCCCAUACCGGAACCAGCUGUCUUUAGUUGCCUUGGAGAACUAUCCGCAUUGAAAGCCUGAACUGGAAGUUAUUGCGAAGUUGUCUGCUGACCACUGAACAAUACUGACGGACUGCGCACGACUCAGUGGAUCAUGGAGCAUGUCUAUUCUCGUGUUAGAUGUUAGAAAGGAUUGCUUCGCUUCGUGAUUGAUCUGGAAACCGGGCCUCCUUUUCAACCGAUUUAACGUGUAAUUAACGUGACUAAAACCACCCUCGACUUAGACACUCGUGUUAGUCCGCCCCUACAUGAAUUCAUUAGUUUCUUUUGAUCCUUAUCAGUUUGAGUUGCUCUGAUUAGCAGUCAUUAGAUCAUUUUUCUUUUUGCUUGUCGGCUUUUAGUUGAAAAAAGUUCUGGCGGAGAUUCAGCAAACAAACAUUGUUCAAUGCGGUGAUCAUAAA